GUCGAUCUAAGAUUGUAACGGAUUUGUAUCUCGUGAUCUCUAGUCCUGUCCUUGUUUUUGUUUAUAUGGUUUCUGGAGUUGAUUAAAUCUUGUUGGUGAAUUAAAGUUUGGAUAAUGAAGACGAAGUUUGCAUCUGCGAGGAACUUGACGAUUUGGUACUUGGAGAACUUGAGGUUAAGCAACCAAAACUUCUUAUCUCCAUGCAUUACCAUUAAUCUUAUAAGUUAGGAUCUAUGUGACAUUUAUGCAGGCUAAAGAAGGCACUAGAAUGGACAUCUCAGUUUCUGUGCCACCAAGUGAUACAUGUUCAACGUCUGAAAAAGGACAAGGCAAUUAUUCAUUAUUUUUGCCUCCUGCUCGAGAUUCUGCUGUGAUUUCUAUAGGAAGUUCACAUUCAACGGCUGCACAUGAAAAUCAGAAGGUAAAAUCACAAUUUCAUAGGUUUUAGGAAGGAUACAUUUAAUUUUAGGAUGACCUUCCUAAAUAAUGCAAUAUACAGAUAUGAUCCGAACUAGUCGUCUUUUUUUUUUCAAUUUGAACUGUUUAUUCAUAUGCCUAUCUAUUUUUGGGUUUGUAGAACCUCAUCCUUUAGUUGGAACUUCUUCUAUCUCUGCUGCACAUGAAAACCAAAAGGUAAAAACUCAAUUUCAUAGGUUUUAGGAAGGAUACAUUUAGGUUUAGGAUGACCUUCCUAAAUACUGCAAUAUACAGGUAUGAUCAGUUUCUAGUCGUCUUUUUUAAAUUUUAACUCUUUUUCAUAUGCCUAUCUAGUUUUGUGUUUGUAGGAACCUCAUCUUUCAGUUGGAACUUCUUUUACCUCUGCUGCACAUGAAAACCAGAAGGUAAAAACUCAAUUUCAUAGGUUUCAGGAAGGAUACAUUUAGUUUUAGGAUGACCUUCCUAAAUACUGCAAUAUACAGAUAUGAUCUGUUUCUAGUCGUCUUUUUUUUUCAAUUUUAACUCUUUGUUCAUAUGCCUAUAUAUUUUUGUGUUUGUAGGAACCUCAUCCAUCAGUCAGAACUUCUUCCAUCUCUGUGUCAUAUAGUGAUACAUGUUCAACGGGUGAAAAGAGAAUAGGCAAUAAGUCAUUGGAUUUGCUUCCUGCUCCAGAUCGUAGUCCGAUUCCCAUAGGCGGUGUACAUUCAACACAAGGUGCUAAUGAUAUAUAUGUUAAUAAAUAUUUCAUGAACAAGGCUGAGUUAAUGCAGAAGAUGAGGACAUGGGAGUUGGAGUAUAAGUUUGAGUUUAGGUAUCGAUGGUCUAACAAAGAGAGAGUGGUUUUGGUAUUUGUAG
This 1293-nucleotide long non-coding RNA is filed under the name Arabidopsis lyrata. RNAcentral's name for it is "long non-coding RNA (ALYR_LNC000532)". Lineage: Eukaryota; Viridiplantae; Streptophyta; Magnoliopsida; Brassicales; Brassicaceae. The record is from RNAcentral.